UCCAGACUCCUACGGGAGGCAGCAGUGGGGGAUAUUGCACAAUGGGGGAAACCCUGAUGCAGCGACGCCGCGUGAGUGAAGAAGUAUUUCGGUAUGUAAAGCUCUAUCAGCAGGGAAGAAAAAAGACGGUACCUGACUAAGAAGCCCCAGCUAACUACGUGCCAGCAGCCGCGGUAAUACGUAGGGGGCAAGCGUUAUCCGGAUUUACUGGGUGUAAAGGGAGCGUAGACGGCAAUACAAGUCGGAAGUGAAAUACCCGGGCUUAACCUGGGAACUGCUUUGGAAACUGUAUGGCUGGAGUGCUGGAGAGGUAAGCGGAAUUCCUAGUGCAGCGGUGAAAUGCGUAGAUAUUAGGAGGAACACCAGUGGCGAAGGCGGCUUACUGGACAGUAACUGACGUUGAGGCUCGAAAGCGUGGGGAGCAAACAGGAUUAGAUACCCCAGUAC
RNAcentral lists this ribosomal RNA (447 nucleotides) under uncultured bacterium. RNAcentral describes it as "bacterial SSU rRNA". It matches the Rfam family "Bacterial small subunit ribosomal RNA", at positions 330 to 793 of the family's 1533-position model. The record is from RNAcentral.